This 301-nucleotide ribosomal RNA is filed under the name uncultured bacterium. RNAcentral's name for it is "partial 16S ribosomal RNA". It matches the Rfam family "Bacterial small subunit ribosomal RNA", at positions 509 to 807 of the family's 1533-position model. The record is from RNAcentral.
CAGUCGCCGCGGUAAUGCAGAGGAUGCAAGCGUUAUCCGGAAUGAUUGGGCGUAAAGCGUCUGUAGGUGGCUUUUCAAGUCCGCCAUCAAAUCCCAAGGCUCAACCCUGGACAGGCGGUGGAAAAUACCAAGCUGGAGUACGGUAGGGGCAGAGGGAAUUUCCGGUGGAGCGGUGAAAUGCGUUGAGAUCGGAAAGAACACCAACGGUGAAAGCACUCUGCUGGGCCGACACUGACACUGAGAGACGAAAGCUAGGGGAGCAAAUGGGAUUAGAUACCCCCGUAGUCCCUGUCUCUUAUAC